UGAUAAUGGCACACCAAUCGUGAGGUUGGGUCGCAAAGCUUCCGGUCUUACAAAAGACAGCGGGGUUACCUA
Molecule: non-coding RNA, 72 nt
Filed under: uncultured Psychrobium sp.
Lineage: Bacteria; Pseudomonadati; Pseudomonadota; Gammaproteobacteria; Alteromonadales; Shewanellaceae
Description: Cyclic di-GMP-I riboswitch
Rfam family: c-di-GMP-I riboswitch aptamer
About the family: GEMM was predicted in a large-scale screen for bacterial structured RNA regulatory elements. Genes associated with GEMM are involved in a diverse array of functions, including chemotaxis regulation, signal transduction, secretion and chitin.
Source: RNAcentral